UUAUAUUUGAAAUUUAUUUAAUUUCGUUCAUUUGAUAUUUUUAAAUAUUUUUAAAAUUUUGAUAAAUACAAAACGAUAUAAUACCUGCACGUAUAAAUUCUAAUAAAAAACUGAUACCGAUUCGAUAUUGACUAGCUUAGAGGCAGAAUUAGCUAUUCACCUUAAGUUAAUGUCAAUGAUAUUUAAACUGAAUUGGAUCCUUCGGUUAGAUUGAGAAUCUGUCCGAACACUAGAAAAAACCGUUUGAACCGUGAACUGAAAAAUCGGUAAAAAGCCUGUCCGACCGGUUCUUUCGUCUGCGCAAGCCGAUAAAAACAAACAACCCGAGACCCACCCCCUCCCGGGCAACCACCACUCUCGUCACUCGUCCAUCCGGCCUCUCUGACUCUCUGACUCUCUCAACCUCUCUUCACUCUUUAGUCUCCAAUCUCCCUCCACCUUCCGGCUUUCAGCCUCCAGUUCACCCGCCUUUAGCCGUCUGCUUCUUCGACGACCGUCCCUGCUGAAAAAUGAGAAAGUCAGAAAGACAGGUUUGGUGGUAAAGGACAAAUGAGAAUUGAAAAGAGUUAACGAUAAUAAUUUUUUAGGUUUGCGUACUUUAUGACAACCCGAGACCCACCCCCUCCCGGGCAACCACCACUCUCGUCACUCGUCCAUCCGGCCUCUCUGACUCUCUGACUCUCUCAACCUCUCUUCACUCUUUAGUCUCCAAUCUUCCUCCACCUUCCGGCUUUCAGCCUCCAGUUCACCCGCCUUUAGCCGUCUGCUUCUUCGACGACCGUCCCUGCUGAAAAAUGAGAAAGUCAGAAAGACAGGUUUGGUG
This 823-nucleotide long non-coding RNA is filed under the name Gossypium barbadense (sea-island cotton). RNAcentral's name for it is "long non-coding RNA (GBAR_LNC017150)". Lineage: Eukaryota; Viridiplantae; Streptophyta; Magnoliopsida; Malvales; Malvaceae. The record is from RNAcentral.